RNAcentral lists this ribosomal RNA (424 nucleotides) under Anomaloglossus baeobatrachus group sp. ABGD cluster 2. RNAcentral's name for it is "partial large subunit ribosomal RNA". It matches the Rfam family "Bacterial large subunit ribosomal RNA", at positions 1816 to 2461 of the family's 2925-position model. The record is from RNAcentral. RNAcentral also lists the same sequence under 1 other name. Lineage: Eukaryota; Metazoa; Chordata; Amphibia; Anura; Aromobatidae.
GCCUCUUGAUUAAACCAUAAGAGGUCCAGCCUGCCCAGUGACAUUGUUCAACGGCCGCGGUAUCCUAACCGUGCGAAGGUAGCGUAAUCACUUGUCCUUUAAAUGAAGACUAGUAUGAAUGGCCCCACGAAAGCUAUACUGUCUCCUUUUUCUAAUCAGUUAAACUAAUCUCCCCGUGAAGAAGCGGGGAUAAACAUAUAAGACGAGAAGACCCUAUGGAGCUUCAAACAACUGAAACACUUGUAUAUCCUCCCCUCACCUGCCAACAUUUAACCUCACAUUUUGUUUCUAGUUUUAGGUUGGGGUGACCACGGAGAAAAAACUAACCUCCACGACGAAAGAGACAUCUCUAAACAAAAAGCCACAUCUUUAUGUAUUAACACAUUAACCUUUAUUGACCCAAUAAAUUGAUCAACGAACCAAG